RNAcentral lists this ribosomal RNA (486 nucleotides) under uncultured bacterium. RNAcentral's name for it is "bacterial SSU rRNA". It matches the Rfam family "Bacterial small subunit ribosomal RNA", at positions 37 to 518 of the family's 1533-position model. The record is from RNAcentral.
UAGCGGCAGGCUUAAUACAUGCAAGUCGAACGGGAUUCAGGUAGCAAUACUUGAUGAGAGUGGCGCACGGGUGCGUAACACGUAUGCAACCUACCUUUAACUGGUGAAUAGCCCCGGGAAAUCGGGAUUAAUACACCAUAACAUUACAAGAGGGCAUCCUCUAAUAAUUAAAGAACUUCGGUUAAAGAUGGGCAUGCGGGACAUUAGCUAGUUGGUGAGGUAACGGCUCACCAAGGCAACGAUGUCUAGGGGUCCUGAGAGGGUUAUCCCCCACACUGGUACUGAGACACGGACCAGACUCCUACGGGAGGCAGCAGUAAGGAAUAUUGGUCAAUGGGCGCAAGCCUGAACCAGCCAUGCCGCGUGAAAAGGGAAGACGGCGCUAUGCGUUGUAAACUUCUUUUGUCAGGGAAUAAAUGUAGGUACGUGUACUUACUUGAAGGUACCUGAAGAAUAAGCAUCGGCUAACUCCGUGCCAGCCGCAGC